GGGUCAGUAGGUUGGUCGUGCCACCGGUACGUACUGGUCUCACUGAUUCCUCCUUCCUGAAGAACCGUAAUGCCAUUAAUUUGGUGUUGCGGGGAAACAGGACUGUUACUUUGAAGAAAUUAGAGUGUUUAAAGCAGGCUAACGCUUGAAUACAUUGGCAUGGAAUAAUGAAAUAGGACGAUCGAUCCUAUUUUGUUGGUUUCUAGGAUUGACGUA
Molecule: ribosomal RNA, 216 nt
Filed under: Glomeromycotina sp.
Lineage: Eukaryota; Fungi; Glomeromycota
Description: partial small subunit ribosomal RNA
Rfam family: Eukaryotic small subunit ribosomal RNA (bases 40-216)
Source: RNAcentral